GUGCAGCAGGCGCGAAACUUCACACUGUGCGAAAGCACGAUGAGGGAAUCCCAAGUGCUUGCACGUAAGUGUAAGCUGUUUCUCUGUUUAAAACGCAGAGAGAGUAAGGGCUGGGUAAGACGGGUGCCAGCCGCCGCGGUAAUACCUGCAGCUCAAGUGGUGACCGUUAUUAUUGGGCCUAAAACGUCCGUAGCCGGUUUAAUAAAUGCCUGGGUAAAUCGUGUAGCUUAACUAUACGAAUUCCGGGUAGACUGUUAAACUCGAGACCGGGAGAAGUUAGAGGUACUCCUGGGGUAGAGGUGAAAUUCUGUAAUCCUAGGGGGACCACCAGUGGCGAAGGCGUCUAACUAGAACGGGUCUGACGGUGAGGGACGAAGCCCUGGGGCGCAAACGGGAUUAGAUACCCGUGUAGU
RNAcentral lists this ribosomal RNA (413 nucleotides) under uncultured microorganism. RNAcentral describes it as "bacterial SSU rRNA". It matches the Rfam family "Archaeal small subunit ribosomal RNA", at positions 330 to 745 of the family's 1478-position model. The record is from RNAcentral.